CCCACCCCCGCCCUGGCCAGUGGCUCCAGGUUCUGCCCCGUCGGGAGCCGGGACCGCAGGAGUCAGGGGUCGGUGACCCCUCUGCCCUGACAACUGUCUGACCCACCUCCCUCUCCCUGCUGUUUCAGCCCUGGUUCCUGUCUUAGUAGAGAGGCAGUCGAGAUGGCCGCUGCUGAGCUUUCUAAUGCCUUUGCUGAGAGAGUGUUGGGGAGCUCUCUGCUUGCUAAUGUACAGACGGUUUUCAAGUAUAGUCCUUAGAAUCCAAGAGGAUUUGUCCAUGGAUACAGAGCUAUAGGCCAAAAGAUUCUGCAAGUCCCAGCUAUUUUUGUACACUGGACACGUUACCCGCUUCGAUGCAACCAGAAAUAAAAGUCUUGUGGCGUUUU
Long non-coding RNA from Herpailurus yagouaroundi (jaguarundi), 386 nucleotides. RefSeq lists it as uncharacterized. The transcript is spliced from 2 exons. The record is from RefSeq and is a predicted model, not a curated record. Lineage: Eukaryota; Metazoa; Chordata; Mammalia; Carnivora; Felidae.